UACGUAGGGCGCAAGCGUUAUCCGGAAUUAUUGGGCGUAAAGAGCUCGUAGGCGGUUUGUCGCGUCUGCCGUGAAAGUCCGGGGCUCAACUCCGGAUCUGCGGUGGGUACGGGCAGACUAGAGUGAUGUAGGGGAGACUGGAAUUCCUGGUGUAGCGGUGAAAUGCGCAGAUAUCAGGAGGAACACCGGUGGCGAAGGCGGGUCUCUGGGCAUUAACUGACGCUGAGGAGCGAAAGCAUGGGGAGCGAACAGG
This 253-nucleotide ribosomal RNA is filed under the name uncultured bacterium. RNAcentral describes it as "partial 16S ribosomal RNA". It matches the Rfam family "Bacterial small subunit ribosomal RNA", at positions 524 to 776 of the family's 1533-position model. The record is from RNAcentral.